UAGCAAUCUAUGUCUCUUUACCCCCACCUUGACUCACCAGAUGGCUUCCUAAGUAUUGACAUUGAUGUGAUAAAUUCUUUGAAAGAAGUUUCAUGACCAUGAAAAGUGAAAAGAGAAAUGGUAACUUAUCAGGAAGAAAGGAAGCAGAUGGAAUUGAGGCCAAAGAUCUAAACACCUGCUCCUGACACUC
Cavia porcellus (domestic guinea pig) is the source of this 190-nucleotide unclassified non-coding RNA. The record is from Ensembl. Lineage: Eukaryota; Metazoa; Chordata; Mammalia; Rodentia; Caviidae.